UUUAAAUCCGGUUGAUCCUGCCGGACCUUACUGCUAUCGGGGUGGGACUAAGACAUGCGAGUCGAGCGUCUCUAGCUAUGUUGAGACGCGGCAGACGGCUCAGUAACACGUGGCUAACCUACCCUCAGGACGAGGAUAAACCCGGGAAACUGGGGCUAAUACUCGAUAGGUGAGUAUGUCUGGAAUGAUUUCUCACUCAAAGGGCCUUGGAAACAUGCUUCCAUUGUCGCCUGGGGAUGGGGCCGCGUCCGAUCAGGUUGUUGGUGAGGUAACGGCUCACCAAGCCUAUAACCGGUACGGGCC
This 303-nucleotide ribosomal RNA is filed under the name Candidatus Bathyarchaeota archaeon. Its description in RNAcentral is "partial 16S ribosomal RNA". It matches the Rfam family "Archaeal small subunit ribosomal RNA", at positions 1 to 275 of the family's 1478-position model. The record is from RNAcentral. Lineage: Archaea; Thermoproteati; Candidatus Bathyarchaeota.